CGCGCCGUUGGGGAAGUCGGGGCCCUUGACCCGCUCGAUGAGCGCGUCCUGCAGCUCCUCGCGGGUGGCGUCGGGGUGCUCCAGCGCCCACGUCGCGCCC
This 100-nucleotide transfer RNA is filed under the name Nocardioides sp. LS1. RNAcentral describes it as "tRNA-Ile". The record is from RNAcentral. Lineage: Bacteria; Bacillati; Actinomycetota; Actinomycetes; Propionibacteriales; Nocardioidaceae.